This 259-nucleotide ribosomal RNA is filed under the name uncultured bacterium. RNAcentral describes it as "partial 16S ribosomal RNA". It matches the Rfam family "Bacterial small subunit ribosomal RNA", at positions 524 to 777 of the family's 1533-position model. The record is from RNAcentral.
UACGUAGGUGGGCAAGCGUUGUUCGGAAUUACUGGGCGUAAAGCGCGUGUAGGCGGCUCUUCAAGUCAGACGUGAAAGCCCCGGGCUUAACUCGGGACUGCGUUUGAUACUGUCGAGCUAGAGUGUGGAAGGGGCGAUUGGAAUUCCGUGUGGUAGCGGUGAAAUUCGUAGAUAUCGGGAGGAACACCAGUGGCGAAGGCGACUACCUGGCCUGUUCUUGGACGCUGAGGCGGCGAAAAGCUAGGGGGAGCAAACGGGG